GUAUAAAAAGAAAAGUUCAAAAAACUUGAUAUUGUGCUCAAAACUAUGAGGGAUGGUUCAUAUGUCUGGCUGAGUUGAAAUGGUUUCUCUUCGCGGCCUGUGUUUCCUCCACUUUUUCUUGGUCAGAGACAUGAUCCACUCCGGAACCUCACCACCAGAAGACGUAAUAACAUUUGCGAUGUUCCUCAAAAAGGGAAUAUCUGCUUCAGUAUAAAAUGUUAUCGCCUGUCCACUCCUUCCUGCUCUGCCAGAACGUCCAAUUCUGUGAAUAUAUGCUGCAGCAGCGUCUGGGAAAUCAUAAUUUAUCACGCAGUUGACCCCUUUGAAAUCCAUACCCCGGGCAACAACAUCAGUGGCAAUUAAAACCCAUGUUUUUCCAGCUCUAAAGUUAUCGAUAGCAUUUUCUCUCUGUAUCUGAGAAAGGUCUGAAUGGAUAACAUCUGCUCGAAUAUCUUCCAAUUUUAACUCGUCAUAUAGCUCCUUGGCACGCUCCUUGUUUUGAACGAAUACUAGCACUGGUGGGUUUAAACUCUCUGCAAAGCUUUGACGAA
RNAcentral lists this unclassified non-coding RNA (551 nucleotides) under Hevea brasiliensis (rubber tree). Lineage: Eukaryota; Viridiplantae; Streptophyta; Magnoliopsida; Malpighiales; Euphorbiaceae. The record is from RNAcentral.